GUGUCAGCAGCCGCGGUAAGACGAACCGUGCAAACGUUAUUCGGAAUCACUGGGCAUAAAGGGCGCGUAGGCGGCUUUCUAAGUCAGGGGUGAAAUCCGGCAGCUCAACUGUCGCAGUGCCUUUGAUACUGGAGAGCUCGAGGGAGGUAGGGGUCUGUGGAACUUCCGGUGGAGCGGUGAAAUGCGUUGAUAUCGGAAGGAACGCCGGUGGCGAAAGCGACGGACUGGAUCUCUUCUGACGCUGAGGCGCGAAAGCCAGGGGAGCAAACGGGAUUAGAUACCCUAGUAGUCC
RNAcentral lists this ribosomal RNA (292 nucleotides) under uncultured bacterium. Its description in RNAcentral is "partial 16S ribosomal RNA". It matches the Rfam family "Bacterial small subunit ribosomal RNA", at positions 505 to 796 of the family's 1533-position model. The record is from RNAcentral.